AGAUGAGAUUUCCCAUUACGUUAAGUAAGUAAGACCCCUUAGAGAUGAUGAGGUUGAUAGGUCUCGGGUGGAAGCGUGGCGACACGUGGAGCUGAGAGAUACUAAUCGGUCGAGGACUUAUCCAA
Molecule: ribosomal RNA, 125 nt
Filed under: Alkalihalobacterium chitinilyticum
Lineage: Bacteria; Bacillati; Bacillota; Bacilli; Caryophanales; Bacillaceae
Description: partial 23S ribosomal RNA
Rfam family: Bacterial large subunit ribosomal RNA
Source: RNAcentral